GGGGAUUUGGCUCAGCGGCAUAAGCGCCUGCCUUGAAAGCAGGCAGUAGGGAGCAACAAGAAAGGCUCCUCAGUCCCCA
RNAcentral lists this transfer RNA (79 nucleotides) under Cavia porcellus (domestic guinea pig). It matches the Rfam family "tRNA". From Rfam's summary of the family: Transfer RNA (tRNA) molecules are approximately 80 nucleotides in length. Their secondary structure includes four short double-helical elements and three loops (D, anti-codon, and T loops). The record is from Rfam by way of RNAcentral. Lineage: Eukaryota; Metazoa; Chordata; Mammalia; Rodentia; Caviidae.